CGAAGGGGGCGAGCGUUGUUCGGAUUUACUGGGCGUAAAGGGCGCGUAGGCGGCCAUCUUUGUCAGGCGUGAAAGCCCCGGGCUCAACCUGGGAACUGCGUCUGGGACGGGGUGGCUAGAGAUCGGGAGAGGAGCGUGGAAUUCCCAGUGUAGAGGUGAAAUUCGUAGAUAUUGGGAAGAACACCGGUGGCGAAGGCGGCGCUCUGGACCGAGACUGACGCUGAGGCGCGAAAGCGUGGGGAGCAAACAGGAUUAGAUACCCUGGUAGUCCACGCUGUAAACGAUGUGUGCUAGACGUUGGGGAGCCUAGCUCUUCGGUGUCGCAGCUAAACGCUUUAAGCACACCGCCUGGGGAGUACGGCCGCAAGGUUA
Molecule: ribosomal RNA, 372 nt
Filed under: uncultured organism
Description: bacterial SSU rRNA
Rfam family: Bacterial small subunit ribosomal RNA
Source: RNAcentral